Molecule: ribosomal RNA, 228 nt
Filed under: Vibrio cholerae
Lineage: Bacteria; Pseudomonadati; Pseudomonadota; Gammaproteobacteria; Vibrionales; Vibrionaceae
Description: partial 23S ribosomal RNA
Rfam family: Bacterial large subunit ribosomal RNA
Source: RNAcentral
GACUAUUGCGAUGGGGGGACGGAGAAGGCUAGGUGGGCCAGGCGACGGUUGUCCUGGUUCAAGUGCGUAGGCUUGAGAGUUAGGUAAAUCCGGCUCUCUCUAAGGCUGAGACACGACGUCGAGCUACUACGGUAGUGAAGUCAUUGAUGCCAUGCUUCCAGGAAAAGCCUCUAAGCUUCAGAUAGUCAGGAAUCGUACCCCAAACCGACACAGGUGGUCGGGUAGAGA